This 478-nucleotide ribosomal RNA is filed under the name uncultured bacterium. Its description in RNAcentral is "partial 16S ribosomal RNA". It matches the Rfam family "Bacterial small subunit ribosomal RNA", at positions 28 to 507 of the family's 1533-position model. The record is from RNAcentral.
GAUGAAUGCUGGCGGCGUGCUUAACACAUGCAAGUCGAACGGGAAACCUUUUAUUGAAGCUUCGGCAGAUUUAGCUGGUUUCUAGUGGCGGACGGGUGAGUAACGCGUGGGUAACCUGCCUUAUACAGGGGGAUAACAACCAGAAAUGGUUGCUAAUACCGCAUAAGCGCACAGGACCGCAUGGUCCGGUGUGAAAAACUCCGGUGGUAUAAGAUGGACCCGCGUUGGAUUAGCUAGUUGGCAGGGUAACGGCCUACCAAGGCGACGAUCCAUAGCCGGCCUGAGAGGGUGAACGGCCACAUUGGGACUGAGACACGGCCCAGACUCCUACGGGAGGCAGCAGUGGGGAAUAUUGCACAAUGGGGGAAACCCUGAUGCAGCGACGCCGCGUGAAGGAAGAAGUAUCUCGGUAUGUAAACUUCUAUCAGCAGGGAAGAUAGUGACGGUACCUGACGAAGAAGCCCCGGCUAACUACGUG